GUCGUUCUGCCCCUGAACAGGCAGUUAACCCACUGUUCCUAGGCCGUCAUUGAAAAUAGGAAUUUGUUCUUAACUGACUUGCCUAGUUAAAUAAAGGUACAAAUAAAAAUUGAUUGGAGGAGAAAUAGGGACUCUAUACUGCCACUUGGAGGGUGAUUAGUGAAGUGUGCAGAGCAUUUAAAUCUCCAUAUUUCAAGGUGAACAUGCUGGCCAGUCAACCUAUUACAGAAAGCCUUUGGUUUGUGGAGCACAAGUUUAAGGUCUGGAUUCAAUCAGAUCGUUGGAGUCAUCAAAUGGGUGCCAAGCUGCUCUUGCGAUCAUUAACCCUUCCUUAACGUUAUUGAGUGAAUUAAGAAGGAAUGGCGAUGUCAUUUGUAGCGAAAUGUGGUUUUCCAUUAAAAUAAUAAUUACUGUGUUCUAAACACGACGUAAUAAAGGAACUUGUGUCGCAAGAUAAAAAGAUAAGUCAGACGGUAGAGUUUGAGUGAUGAAGUUGGACAGAGAAUAUCAACAUCUCUCCGCGAGAAACACUUGGAUGAACAGUAAAAACACAUAUAUUCUGUCAAUUGAGCCUUAUUCUCUGCCAGAUGUCAUACAAACUGUUAUAUGUGGAUAAUAGCUAUAGCUAGGCCUGUCUGUAUGAUUGACUUGUCAUUUCAAUAGGCCUAGGCUACUAAAUACAAUCUGGGUUUAUGAUUGUAAUUCAACUUUGCCAUGGUUUGCUUAGCUAGAUGCAGGUAGCCUAUAACUCCUGAUAGGCCUGUUAGAUAGGCUACAGUAGGCUAGGCAAGAUGUAAAAUGAACAAUUUACUACAGUAGCUUGCUUAAUUCAAAUUGACAGACUCAUUUAUUGAAUCUGAAUAGCGAGGAUAUUUCUGUAAAAAGUGUUUGUGUUGCCCAAAAGCCUGGAUUUGACAGCUCUAACACAGUUCUACCUUCGAACACCUCAAAAUAAUCGCUAUGCAGAUCUGAUUGAAUCCAGCUCUAAAGUCUUUGAUAGGCUGAUUAGGAAUUUGUUCCAGGAAAUAAUCUGCCACCUUGUAAGGUUAGCAAAGGGCUAAUGUGUGCCAGGUUAUCUGAUGGGACCAGCUACAAUUUAGCAUUCUGUCACAUGACACUACAUCAACCAUUUUAAUUGGCUGAUGCUUAAACUUAACCUUGAACUUAAACUUUUUCUAAUGUUUGCCAGUAUGGGCCCAUGGUGUUUGUUAUGCAACGUUUUGGAUCCUUCAGAUAGAAAUAGCUUUUGUAGACCAAAUAUGCCUUUGACGUGUAGAAUAAGGAAUAACAUCAACUCUGUUCAUGGCAUUUCUAUCUGCAACUGAACGGGCCCUGCAGUAACUACAAACUGUAGAGUUAACUAACCUCUGGUUGUGGCCCUGCAGUAACUACAAACUGUAGAGUUAACUAACCUCUGGUUGUGGCCCUGCAGUAACUACAAACUGUAGAGUUAACUAACCUCUGGUUGUGGCCCUGCAGUAACUACAAACUGUAGAGUUAACUAACCUCUGGUUGUGGCCCUGCAGUAACUACAAACUGUAGAGUUAACUAACCUCUGGUUGUGGCCCUGCAGUAACUACAAACUGUAGAGUUAACUAACCUCUGGUUGUGGCCCUGCAGUAACUACAAACUGUAGAGUUAACUAACCUCUGGUUGUGGCCCUGCAGUAACUACAAACUGUAGAGUUAACUAACCUCUGGUUGUGGCCCUGCAGUAACUACAAACUGUAGAGUUAACUAACCUCUGGUUGUGGCCCUGCAGUAACUACAAACUGUAGAGUUAACUAACCUCUGGUUGUGGCCCUGCAGUAACUACAAACUGUAGAGUUAGCUACAGGGGGUUGCUAUGGUGAUUUGCUAUGGUGAGGGUUAGUGUUGGUCUCUUUACUGAUGAUGAUGAUGAUGAUGGUGUUUAACCAGGGUUUGUAGUGAUGAGGAUGUUUAACCAGGGUUUGUAGUGAUGAGGAUGUUAAAGGUGCUCUAAGAAAAUUAUAAUUUAAGAUGGCUUCAACAUUAAAUAGCUGAGUACAUGUUGCAUAGAACACCUUGAAACAUAAUGUCUAAUGAGGUCUGAAUACCUUGAAACAUAAUGUCUACUGAGGUCUGAAUACCUUGAAACAUAAUGUCUAAUGAGGUCUGAUCACCUUGAAACAUAAUGUCUACUGAGGUCUGAUCACCUUGAAACAUAAUGUCUACUGAGGUCUGACCACCUUGAAACAUAAUGUCUAAUGAGGUCUGAUCACCUUGAAACAUAAUGUCUAAUGAGGUCUGAUGACCUUGAAACAUAAUGUCUACUGAGGUCUGAUCACCUUGAAACAUAAUGUCUACUGAGGUCUGAACACCUUGAAACAUAAUGUCUAAUAAGGUCUUAAGGAUGUCUAUGAUCAAUAGAAAAUUAAAUAACCUCUCAACUGA
Molecule: long non-coding RNA, 2414 nt
Organism: Oncorhynchus tshawytscha (Chinook salmon)
Lineage: Eukaryota; Metazoa; Chordata; Actinopteri; Salmoniformes; Salmonidae
Exons: 2
Source: RefSeq, a predicted model, not a curated record